GAUGAACGCUGGCGGCGUGCUUAACACAUGCAAGUCGAACGGGAAACCUUUUAAUGAAGCUUCGGCAGAUUUAGCUGGUUUCUAGUGGCGGCCGGGUGAGUAACGCGUGGGUAACCUGCCUUAUACAGGGGGAUAACAGUCAGAAAUGACUGCUAAUACCGCAUAAGCGCACAGGACCGCAUGGUCCGGUGUGAAAAACUCCGGUGGUAUAAGAUGGACCCGCGUUGGAUUAGCUUGUUGGUGGGGUAACGGCUAACCAAGGCGACGAUCCAUAGCCGGCCUGGGAGGGUGAACGGCCGGAUUGGAACUGAGACACGGCCCAGUCUCCUACGGGAGGCAGCAGUAGGGAAUAUUACACGAUGGGGGAAGCCCUGAUGCAGCGACGCGGCGUGAAGGAAGAAGUAUCUCGGUAUGUAAACUUCUAUCAGCAGAGAAGAUAGUGACGGUACCUGACUAAGAAGCCCCGGCUAACUACGUG
This 478-nucleotide ribosomal RNA is filed under the name uncultured bacterium. RNAcentral's name for it is "partial 16S ribosomal RNA". It matches the Rfam family "Bacterial small subunit ribosomal RNA", at positions 28 to 507 of the family's 1533-position model. The record is from RNAcentral.